UACGAAGGGGGCUAGCGUUGCUCGGAAUCACUGGGCGUAAAGGGUGCGUAGGCGGCCUGGCAAGUGGAAGGUGAAAUCCCUCGGCUUAACCGAGGAACUGCCUUCCAAACUGCUUGGCUUGAGUCCGGGAGAGGUGAGUGGAAUUCCCAGUGUAGCGGUGAAAUGCGUAGAUAUUGGGAGGAACACCAGUGGCGAAGGCGGCUCACUGGACCGGAACUGACGCUGAUGCGCGAAAGCGUGGGGAGCAAACGGG
RNAcentral lists this ribosomal RNA (253 nucleotides) under uncultured bacterium. Its description in RNAcentral is "partial 16S ribosomal RNA". It matches the Rfam family "Bacterial small subunit ribosomal RNA", at positions 524 to 776 of the family's 1533-position model. The record is from RNAcentral.